GCAAGUCGAGGGGUAACAGGAGAGCUUGCUACAGGCGACGACCGGCGCACGGGUGAGUAACGCGUAUGCAACCUACCUUCAACAGGGGAAUAGCCCAGGGAAACUUGGAUUAAUGCCCCAUAGUUCACAAGAUUCGCAUGUUUUUUGUGAUAAAGUUCCGGCGGUUGAAGAUGGGCAUGCGUGCCAUUAGAUAGUUGGUAAGGUAACGGCUUACCAAGUCAACGAUGGCUACGGGGUCUUAAAGGAUGGUC
This 251-nucleotide ribosomal RNA is filed under the name uncultured bacterium. RNAcentral describes it as "partial 16S ribosomal RNA". It matches the Rfam family "Bacterial small subunit ribosomal RNA", at positions 57 to 305 of the family's 1533-position model. The record is from RNAcentral.